RNAcentral lists this small RNA (126 nucleotides) under Marmota monax (woodchuck). Lineage: Eukaryota; Metazoa; Chordata; Mammalia; Rodentia; Sciuridae. The record is from RNAcentral.
GCUGGGCAUGGUGGCUCAUGCCUGUAAUCCUAGCAGCUCAAGAGGCUGAGGCAGGAAGAUUGCAAGUUCAAAGCCAGUUUCCAGCGUAAGUGAGGCCCUGAGAAACUUAGAGAGAUCCUGUCUCCA